Molecule: ribosomal RNA, 253 nt
Filed under: uncultured bacterium
Lineage: Bacteria
Description: partial 16S ribosomal RNA
Rfam family: Bacterial small subunit ribosomal RNA
Source: RNAcentral
UACGUAGGGAGCUAGCGUUGUCCGGAAUCAUUGGGCGUAAAGCGCGCGUAGGCGGCCCGGUAAGUCCGCUGUGAAAGUCAAAGGCUCAACCUUUGAAUGUCAGCGGAUACUGCCGGGCUAGAGUCCGGAAGAGGCGAGUGGAACUCCUGGUGUAGCGGUGGAAUGCGCAGAUAUCAGGAGGAACACCGAUGGCGAAGGCAGCUCGCUGGGACGGUACUGACGCUGAGGCGCGAAAGCGUGGGGAGCGAACAGG